This 734-nucleotide long non-coding RNA is filed under the name Chinchilla lanigera (long-tailed chinchilla). RNAcentral's name for it is "lncRNA (ENSCLAG00000028590.1)". The record is from RNAcentral. Lineage: Eukaryota; Metazoa; Chordata; Mammalia; Rodentia; Chinchillidae.
CACGCCUCAGCCACCUUCACGCCGUCCUCCGAGGCUGCUGCGUAGCUUUACGCCUCCUUCCCCGCCAGGGUUUGCUCUCGUGCUUCUCCACACUCUCAGAACUUCGCUCUCUCCACAGGAAUGAAUACAGAUACUCUCCCGGGACAUUCACGUGAGCAAAGAAGAGACACAGUACUGGGCACUCCCUCCGCAUGCCACGUCUUUCUCCUACUCCUCCGAUUGAAAAAUUGAAACACUUGCCAGCACGGUCCACGUGAGCCUCUCAACACAGACUGCAUGACCUCAGAAAACAAGGAACGAUUGCUAAUAAGUGUUAAGAUCUAAAGUAACUUGAAAACUGACUUACCUGUCAUUUACCCAGAAGUCACUUAAGUAAACUCGAAGAUACAUAAUCACAUCAAGAUUACUAAAUUACAAUAGGCAGUAGAAUUUUAGGACACCGCUCAGUGUAAGUAAGGCAGGCCAACGGUUCUACAAGCGCAAGGAAAACCAUGAGUAAACCCCAGGAUCUACCCGUCAGGAGUCAAGUUCACGGCUGAACAACUCUGCAAGCAAACAAUAAAAAUGUAUGAAAGUUGUUCAUCUCACAGACGGCCACACAAAUGCUGUUCUGAAGGAACAAUUCAAAACACUUUGUGGAGGAGACCACCCCGACAAAAAGUGAUGAACUCAACUGCAUCUUCUUUAUUUUCUCAUCUAGUUGUUGGAGAUUUCAAGGAAUAGCUAAUUAAAGC